This 69-nucleotide transfer RNA is filed under the name Marmota marmota marmota (Alpine marmot). It matches the Rfam family "tRNA". From Rfam's summary of the family: Transfer RNA (tRNA) molecules are approximately 80 nucleotides in length. Their secondary structure includes four short double-helical elements and three loops (D, anti-codon, and T loops). Lineage: Eukaryota; Metazoa; Chordata; Mammalia; Rodentia; Sciuridae. The record is from Rfam by way of RNAcentral. RNAcentral also lists the same sequence under 1 other name.
GGAGUUGUGGCUCAGUGGCAGAGCGCUUGCCUGGCACGUAUGAGAUCCUGGGUUCGAUCCUCAGCACCA